CGGCCUAAACCGUUUCCCAUUCAUUCUCUAUGGUAGUGCUAAACCACUACGGAUGUAAUAUAUCUUUGGCCACUACGGUCUUCCGGCGCUGUUGCGAGUUUGAGAUGCGGCGGCACUUUUAAAAAAUCUCCUCUUUUACGAGAAAACAAGUAACUCACCGCUCGCAACACAUCUCAACGAUCCUCGUUCAUUGAUCAAAGAUGCAGAAGAAAAUUGCGCCAUAUCCAGGGAAAAUCUCUGUGGCAUUCCGCAAGGGGCCACUUGGAUACCUUCCCCGGGACUCGUCAAAAGAAGCUCGGCGGAUUAAAAAUGUCCCCGAGCUUCAGGACAAGUCUGCACCUGUGAGGGAGGACGAUGCUCUGACUGUCAUCUAUCAGAGAGGAGGGGAUGCCUCUGACAUGAAGGAAGUGCAGGGAGAGUACAUCCUGCAGUUUGGAAAGUAUAAAGGGAAAUCUUUCCAGUGGCUUCUGGAGAAUGAAUGUCGGGUACACCAUGUACCUGAUCAAAGAUCUCCAGAAGCAAGAGGCUGCAGGGACCUCUGUGGAAGAAGGACAUGGCAAGGAGAGCUUGCAUUCAUUUGUACAGUAUGCCCUCAGCUUUACAGAGAUAAAAACUCUUCUGAACUACGAGGCCAGCAGAGUGAGUGUUGGAGCAGAAGCCUGUGAGGAUGAUCAGCUGGUUGGCUUUGGCUCAUGAGCCAAGAGCACCUGGAAGGAGAUUUGGGGUGGCAGAGGUGACGGCUAUGGAGACUUUAUCACGAGGAAGAGCUGCAGUCAAGGAACACGGAUGCAUAAGCUGCAGCAGUACGUGCGGAAGAAGCAGCAGUCUGUGUCUGCUUCCACAAAUGCUCCAACUAAACCCCUGGGGAUGGAUGAGGAUAAAGACCUGGAGGACGCAAUGCUGAGCAUCUCACCUGUAAAACUACACAUGCAGAGCUGUAAGUACUGCGUUAUUACUAAAUGUCAGACGUGAUAAUGGCUAAGUCUGUUUACAUCUCAUAUGCCUCUGUCCUCUGUCUCUGCAUAACUAGUCACUGUGCCAGCAGCAGCAGAAGGGUCCACACCCAGAGGAUCUUCAGGAGCAAACACAGGUUUUCAAAUGAAAGGUUUCAGAACUGGAGUAAAAUAGUUUUACAUGAAUUGCUCUCCAAAGCUGAGCCUGAACUUUUAUAUAUUGUCUUGUUCUUGUUUUUGUGUGUUCUGGCCACGUUCCGGCGAUGUUCCUCUAAUAGUAUAGUUGUAUGCUGGCUGUAUGGUGGAAGAAAACAGUAAAUAAGGGAGAAACAGUUGAUAUUGUAC
Oreochromis aureus is the source of this 1298-nucleotide long non-coding RNA. The record is from Ensembl. NCBI's taxonomy places the organism in Eukaryota, Metazoa, Chordata, Actinopteri, Cichliformes, Cichlidae.